RNAcentral lists this long non-coding RNA (2964 nucleotides) under Marmota monax (woodchuck). Lineage: Eukaryota; Metazoa; Chordata; Mammalia; Rodentia; Sciuridae. The record is from RNAcentral.
GUGAAUCAAUUUGAGGUAUUUGGAAUUGUGUUUCUGAAAGUUCAGGUUUGUCCAAGGAGAGGGGAAAGAUAGCCCUGGGAAGAAGACUAGUAGUGAGGUUUUUCUUAGUCUUAAGUAGAUGAUUUGGAAUGUGUACCUUUCUGCUCCCUUUUUGCCACAUGGCUUUUCUUCUAUUCUUUUUUUUUUCCCCCUCAUUUUAGCUCUGUAAUCUUUGUAUAGUAGAAUACAUAGAAUGUGGAGAUGCUCACUAAAUUGACAUGGAACUUCCAACCUUUUAGAAUCUGGGGUUAAUUUAAGGGCAGUAGGAUUACAAUAGUCAUCUGCUUGGCUUUCGGUCUCCUGUUGAAGUUCUGUAUAACUGGGCUUGAAUUACCAUUUUCAACCUUUUUAAUACCACUACAAUGUUUGAGCCAUUCCACUUGUUUAAGAAAACAAGCCCAAAUUGUUACUGAGACAAAACCCUACUCAUCCAUGUCAAAAAAAAAUCACAAAGGGGCACAUAUGUGUAAUCCCAGCUAAUUGGGAAGGGUAAGGCAGGAGGAUGACAAGUUCUAGGCCAUCCUCAGCAACUUAGCAAGAUCCUAGGAUGUAGCUCAAUGGUAGAGCACCCCUGGUUCAAUCCCUAGUACUGUAAAAAAAAAAAAGAAAAAAGUAAAUUUCUGAGAACAAAGAAGGUGACAAGCAAAAGAGGCAAACUGACCUGUAUAAAGUGUGGUGUGUAAGUAUGUGCAGCUGCCUUGCUCUGAUAAGGCCUCAACCACCUCGACUCCUCUUCUAUACUCUUGAGGACUAAGUCAGGCCUUGUCAACCAUUUCCAUUUUCAUUUGCCAGAAAUACCCUCAUGUCACCCUUAUCAACCCAAAUCUGAAUUAUUACAGCAUUUUCCUGGCUGGCCUUCCUAAAACUAACUGGUGUUUCAGAAUCCGUGUGGUUCUUCUAUGAACAUAAAAUGAUAUUAUGUUCACUGCUUCCUAGUAAGAUUGUGAACUCUGGGAUGGCGGGCUGAUUCUUCUAUCUAUCUAUCUACCUAUUUAGAGGCAGAGUCUCUUUAAGUUGCUUAGGUUGAUCUCAAACUUAGGGUCUUCCUGCUUUCCAAAGAGCUAGGAUUAUAGGUGUGCACCACUAUGGUGGGUAAUAGUAAACAUUUUUUUUUAAAAUAUACUCAAGAAAGAGGUGAGCAAAGUAAAAUACUGUUAACUGAAGAUUAUACAAGGGAACAUUAAAAAAGAUUUGAAAAAAAUUUUGUAAACCAGGCACAGUGGCACAUGCCUUUAGUAGUCCAAGCUACUGGGGAGGCUGAGACAGGAGGACUGUAAAUUUGAGGCCUGCUUGAGCAAAACCCUGUCUUAAAAAAUAAAGAAGGCUGGAGUUGUAGCUCAGUGAUGAAGCGCCCCUGGUUCAAUCCCUAUUACUACCAAAAAAAAGUUUCUUUAACCUCCACAUCACCUUGCUCAGUGCCAAGCAAGCACAUGAUUGAAGCAGUUGAGGUUAUUUUAAUAAUUCCUAGCUAAAUGAAACCUUAACAGAAUUAUGAAUUCACUGAGGGAUUCUAAGACUGGCUGGUAGGUUGGGAAGUGAGAACAAGGUGUCAGCAUUCUGCUCACCUUUAGAUGGGAGAUCAACCCAACUCUGACACCAAAAAAACACAAUCCAUAUUGAAAAUCAACUCCUCUACUUUCCUAAAUCUGAUCCUCUUUGGGUUUUCAAAAUUAGUGGUAACACUGUCCUAACAAGCCAGUCAAACACCCAAACUUUGAAUUGCUUUUGACACCUCCCUACCACAACCAGCUUUUGUGUGUGUGUGUGGGGGGGGGUGCCAGAUAUUGAACUCAGGGGCACUCAACCACUAAGCCAAAUCCCCACCCCUAUUUUGUAUUUAGAGACAGAGUCCCACUGAGUUGUUUAGUGCUUCACAGUUGCUGAGGCUGGCUUUGAACUCUCCUGCUGCUAGGAUUAUAGGCCUGUGCCACCACGCUGGACCGCAACCACCUAUUGAGUCUAAUUUCUGAUCACUCUCAUUCUUCCCCCCAGUACCCUGGUCCAGACCUCAUCACCUAUAACCCAGAACAGAAUUGCAAUCCCUACCUAUCUGAUUUUCCCACUAAAUCCUUCCUUUACCAGUUCUUUCUCUCCACAGGCAGCUAGUACAGUCUUCCAAAUUAGAGCACAAUUGAUCAUUGGAUCUCUUAUUUCCCUGACUGAAAAGAUCUUAUGUUCUCCAUCCCCUGCAAAUCUAAUAGGCAUUAGAGGAUCUCCAGUGAUUUGAGCUCCAUCCUCCUUUCCACCCUCAUGCCCAAGUCUACACUUUUAAGCACUCUGUCCAGAAUCCAUUAUUUGCCCUUCCUUUCUUGUAAUUGACCUCUGUGUUCCUUCUCCCUUUUCUUAUGUCAUUCCUUAUGCUGGAAUAUCAAUUCAAACCUGUGUUUGAAUCCUAGUUUUGUUACCCAUUCACUUUGAAAAAUUUGGCAAUUCACUUAAAACUCCCUUGUGUCAUAGAUUUUGUGUUUAUAAUAAAUUGUUGUAAUAGUACCUAUUUCAUAGGAUUGUUGUGAGAAACAUUCUUUUCCUAAUGAGACAUACUUGUUAUCCCUCUGCAGCAGUUAUAUGUGUUCAAUAUCUUAACUCCCUCUAGAUUAAAUGUAGGAUCUUGAAGGUUAUCUUUAUAUACCUUAUAAACUCAGAGCUUUGAACAGAGUAAGUACAUUUGAAAACUUGAAUGAAAUGUUAGUAUUGGGCUACACAGAAUACACCAGUAAUACAGUAACCACUCAGUUGAGGACAGUGAGAGGGUGGGGAUAAAUAAAACACUGGGUGAAGGGCUGGGGUUGUGGCUCAAUGAUAGAGCGUUUGCCUAGCACAUGGGAGGGACUGAGUUCAAACCUGGCACUGGAUUUAAUCUUCAGCACUACCUGAAAAUAAACAAGUAAAGGUAUCGUGUUCAUCUACAACUAAAAAAAAAGACUG